RNAcentral lists this ribosomal RNA (177 nucleotides) under Paenibacillus ferrarius. Its description in RNAcentral is "partial 16S ribosomal RNA". It matches the Rfam family "Bacterial small subunit ribosomal RNA", at positions 1 to 176 of the family's 1533-position model. The record is from RNAcentral. Lineage: Bacteria; Bacillati; Bacillota; Bacilli; Caryophanales; Paenibacillaceae.
CUACUAUGGAGAGUUUGAUCCUGGCUCAGGACGAACGCUGGCGGCGUGCCUAAUACAUGCAAGUCGAGCGGAGUAUUUCCUUCGGGGAAUGCUUAGCGGCGGACGGGUGAGUAACACGUAGGUAACCUGCCUAUCAGAUCGGGAUAACUAUCGGAAACGAUAGCUAAGACCGGAUAA